GAUGAACGCUGGCGGCGUGCCUAAUACAUGCAAGUCGAGCGAACAGAUAAGGAGCUUGCUCCUUUGACGUUAGCGGCGGACGGGUGAGUAACACGUGGAUAACCUACCUAUAAGACUGGGAUAACUUCGGGAAACCGGAGCUAAUUCCGGAUAACAUAUUGAACCGCAUGGUUCAAUAGUGAAAGGCGGCUUUGCUGUCACUUAUAGAUGGAUCCGCGCCGUAUUAGCUAGUUGGUAAGGUAACGGCUUACCAAGGCAACGAUACGUAGCCGACCUGAGAGGGUGAUCGGCCACACUGGAACUGAGACACGGUCCAGACUCCUACGGGAGGCAGCAGUAGGGAAUCUUCCGCAAUGGGCGAAAGCCUGACGGAGCAACGCCGCGUGAGUGAUGAAGGUCUUCGGAUCGUAAAACUCUGUUAUCAGGGAAGAACAAAUGUGUAAGUAACUGUGCACAUCUUGACGGUACCUGAUCAGAAAGCCACGGCUAACUACGUG
RNAcentral lists this ribosomal RNA (497 nucleotides) under uncultured bacterium. Its description in RNAcentral is "partial 16S ribosomal RNA". It matches the Rfam family "Bacterial small subunit ribosomal RNA", at positions 28 to 507 of the family's 1533-position model. The record is from RNAcentral.